Molecule: long non-coding RNA, 354 nt
Organism: Rhinichthys klamathensis goyatoka
Lineage: Eukaryota; Metazoa; Chordata; Actinopteri; Cypriniformes; Leuciscidae
Exons: 3
Source: RefSeq, a predicted model, not a curated record
AGUGGAACCUCUGAUUGCAUCAAAGAUGGACCAGACCUUCUCAAUGCGAAGAUGUGAGAUUGUGGAUGCAGAUGGAGCAGUGGCCAGCUCUUUUUACAGAGAGACCAGUGUUUGCAGAGUUUGACAGGAUAGUCACCACAGAUCUGCAGACUGCAGAGUAACUUUUAUGGUGCUGUGGAUCGCUACACACCACGUUUUGUCACAAGUCUUCAAGAAGCAUUGGAGAGAAAUUUGAUGAUCUUAUGCAGCAAAUUAAUACAGGGGUUUGUGAUGUUGAUGAAGCCUGGGCACAAGUAUCUGUUGGGGUGCUGACUGUCAUUGAUGAAGAAGAAUCUCUCUCUCUACCUUUGCCCA